Molecule: ribosomal RNA, 253 nt
Filed under: uncultured bacterium
Lineage: Bacteria
Description: partial 16S ribosomal RNA
Rfam family: Bacterial small subunit ribosomal RNA
Source: RNAcentral
UACGAAGGGGGCUAGCGUUGUUCGGAAUUACUGGGCGUAAAGCGUGCGCAGGCGGCUUCUCAAGUCAGAGGUGAAAGCCCAGAGCUCAACUCUGGAAUGGCCUUUGAGACUAGAGGACUUGGGUACGGGAGAGGUGAGUGGAAUUCCGAGUGUAGAGGUGAAAUUCGUAGAUAUUCGGAAGAACACCAGUGGCGAAGGCGGCUCACUGGCCCGUUACCGACGCUCAGGCGCGACAGCGUGGGGAGCAAACAGG